GACGAACGCUGGCGGCGUGCUUAACACAUGCAAGUCGAACGAGAAUCUACUGAAAGAGUUUUCGGACAAUGGAUGUAGAGGAAAGUGGCGGACGGGUGAGUAACGCGUGAGGAACCUGCCUUGAAGAGGGGGACAACAGUUGGAAACGACUGCUAAUACCGCAUGAAGCAUAGGGGUCGCAUGAUCGUUAUGCCAAAGAUUUAUCGCUUCAAGAUGGCCUCGCGUCUGAUUAGCUGGUUGGCGGGGUAACGGCCCACAAAGGCGACGAUCAGUAGCCGGACUGAGAGGUUGAACGGCCACAUUGGGACUGAGAUACGGCCCAGACUCCUACGGGAGGCAGCAGUGGGGAAUAUUGGGCAAUGGGCGCAAGCCUGACCCAGCAACGCCGCGUGAAGGAAGAAGGCUUUCGGGUUGUAAACUUCUUUUAAGAGGGAAGAGCAGAAGACGGUACCUCUAGAAUAAGCCACGGCUAACUACGUGCCAGCCGCCGCGGUAA
This 496-nucleotide ribosomal RNA is filed under the name uncultured bacterium. RNAcentral describes it as "partial 16S ribosomal RNA". It matches the Rfam family "Bacterial small subunit ribosomal RNA", at positions 28 to 523 of the family's 1533-position model. The record is from RNAcentral.